GUCAGAUAGUUUUAUAGUUAAAUCAAUUUAUUCAACUAUGAUUCUUUUAUUUCUAUAGGUUGGCCUAUUUUUGAUAAUACGUAUACAUAAUUUAUAAUGUUUUUGUGAUAAUAUUUUUAAAUUUCAGAUAAAUUAUGUAAAAAUAUUUGAGGGAAAAAUCGUACUUGAGAUUCCUGCAUCUUGGGGGAAUUUUGACUUAGCCACCUUUUCCGACUUUCUUUCUUUCCUCUGUAUAACCAUGUGGUAAUAAAGAAGUAGAGGCAAUGCCUGAUGCUCUGAAUUUAGAGGUAAAAUGAAUUUUUCAUCUCUCUUUUGCUAUUCGGUUCCUCCCAUACUUAAGUAAUUAGACCCUUCUUGUAGCUACUAAUCAUUACACCUCACAACCUCUUAUGCUUGUUUUAUUUUAUCCUGUUCAUGUCGAUCUCAUUUCUGAGUUUUCUACACUUCUGCUUACCUUAAAAAAUAUCAAGUAGCUUUUAAUAGCUGCCGGCCAGCCAUGCAAUAUUAAAGGAUUAAGGGUAGACUAAAAGAUCUAUGUGACAUAUCCCACUGCGUAUUCUCCCUUGCAAUCUGUGAAAUAAUCAGGAGAAAGACGGUGGCCUAGAAUCCUCUCUCCCUCGGGAAUCUCCUAACAUCCUUUGCAUUACCUGCUGUAUUAACGUCUUCCUUGGCCACACUGCACUCCCGGCUCCUACAACCAGCUUCCCAUCUGCUAAGGUAAAUUCAUCAUUUACUUAUUUUCUAGAUAUUUAUUGUCAGACUUUCGAUAGGAUGUAAAUUCUGCGGGGGCGGGGAAUCUUUGCUUUUUCUUCCCUGAUAUAUUCGUUGCCUCAAACAUUGACUCGUAUGUAGGCAC
Molecule: long non-coding RNA, 856 nt
Filed under: Fukomys damarensis (Damara mole-rat)
Lineage: Eukaryota; Metazoa; Chordata; Mammalia; Rodentia; Bathyergidae
Description: lncRNA (ENSFDAG00000024799.1)
Source: RNAcentral